This 497-nucleotide ribosomal RNA is filed under the name uncultured bacterium. RNAcentral's name for it is "partial 16S ribosomal RNA". It matches the Rfam family "Bacterial small subunit ribosomal RNA", at positions 28 to 507 of the family's 1533-position model. The record is from RNAcentral.
GAUGAACGCUGGCGGCGUACCUAAUACGUGCAAGUCGAGCGAACAGAUGAGGAGCUUGCUCCUCUGACGUUAGCGGCGGACGGGUGAGUAACACGUGGAUAACCUACCUAUAAGACUGGGAUAACUUCGGGAAACCGGAGCUAAUACCGGAUAAUAUAUUGAACCGCAUGGUUCAAUAGUGAAAGACGGUUUUGCUGUCACUUAUAGAUGGAUCCGCGCCGCAUUAGCUAGUUGGUAAGGUAACGGCUUACCAAGGCAACGAUGCGUAGCCGACCUGAGAGGGUGAUCGGCCACACUGGAACUGAGACACGGUCCAGACUCCUACGGGAGGCAGCAGUAGGGAAUCUUCCGCAAUGGGCGAAAGCCUGACGGAGCAACGCCGCGUGAGUGAUGAAGGUCUUCGGAUCGUAAAACUCUGUUAUUAGGGAAGAACAAAUGUGUAAGUAACUAUGCACGUCUUGACGGUACCUAAUCAGAAAGCCACGGCUAACUACGUG